ACAACGGUAUGGUGUAAAAUAUUUGCAGUAACUGUAACCCUCCUUACAGGUGUUGUGGUCCAGUUUCCAGCCUGGAUCGCAGCUGUCCUCGGUGAGUCCAUUCCGACAAACACAUUCGCAGGUGGACUCAUACAGAAUCCUGUUGGGCCCACAGAGAGCCAGCAGACCCGAGUCCAGCGCCUCUGGAAGCCACAUGGAAAGGAGGUGAUCUGAUGCAGCUCGUCUUAUGAUGGAGUGGAGCGGCCGCUUGGAGAGGCAUUCGCACGAAGUGUGGUUGACGAAGGAUACCAUGACGACGGAGCGAUCCAUCCUGGGCGGGGACAGUUCCAUCAACUGGCAGGAGGAAAGAUGAAAGGCGAAGCAGUUACCGACAACUGUAAAAUAAAUUAUGGGGAAGAUGGACAGACAGACAGACAGACGAGAGAAGAAGGAGAGGAGACAGGAGGCUGACGACAAGGAAGGAGAAAGAGGUGUGUCUGGGAAACGCUCGAAUGAGAAAACAUCCGAUUUUUGGGCCAGUCACUGCCAGCCUUUUCAAGGAUUAAAGACGCACACCCCCACACACACACACACAUGCACACACACGGUGGCAAGUGUCUGCUUGCAGUACGCUUUAUGUGUUGAAAUCUGUCGACCAAAUUCCACAUUCCAGUCAUUGCUUUCCCCACUUCAACAUGUGAGCUUGGAGCAAAGAUUUAAGAGAGAGAGAGAGAGAGAG
This is a long non-coding RNA of Sander lucioperca (pikeperch), 718 nucleotides long. RefSeq lists it as uncharacterized. The record is from RefSeq and is a predicted model, not a curated record. The transcript has 3 exons. Lineage: Eukaryota; Metazoa; Chordata; Actinopteri; Perciformes; Percidae.